This 24-nucleotide non-coding RNA is filed under the name Cricetulus griseus (Chinese hamster). The record is from RNAcentral. Lineage: Eukaryota; Metazoa; Chordata; Mammalia; Rodentia; Cricetidae.
GCAGGAUGUCUGGCAAGUGACUCC